UACGUAGGGUGCGAGCGUUGUCCGGAAUUAUUGGGCGUAAAGAGCUCGUAGGCGGUCUGUCGCGUCGGUCGUGAAAACUUGGGGCUUAACCCUGAGCUUGCGGUCGAUACGGGCAUGACUGGAGUUCGGCAGGGGAGACUGGAAUUCCAGGUGUAGCGGUGAAAUGCGUAGAUAUCUGGAGGAACACCGGUGGCGAAGGCGGCAUCCUGGACCGGUAUUGACGCUGAGGCGCGAAAGCUAGGGGAGCAAACGGG
Molecule: ribosomal RNA, 254 nt
Filed under: uncultured bacterium
Lineage: Bacteria
Description: partial 16S ribosomal RNA
Rfam family: Bacterial small subunit ribosomal RNA
Source: RNAcentral